This 253-nucleotide ribosomal RNA is filed under the name uncultured bacterium. RNAcentral describes it as "partial 16S ribosomal RNA". It matches the Rfam family "Bacterial small subunit ribosomal RNA", at positions 524 to 776 of the family's 1533-position model. The record is from RNAcentral.
GACGAAGGAUGCAAGCGUUAUCCGGAUUCAUUGGGUUUAAAGGGAGCGUAGGUGGUCUUGUAAGUCAGUGGUGAAAUCUGGCAGCUUAACUGUUAAAUUGCCAUUGAUACUGCAGGACUUGAGUACAGAUGCCGUUGGCGGAAUAUGACAUGUAGUGGUGAAAUACAUAGAGAUGUCAUAGAACACCGAUUGCGAAGGCAGCUGACGAAACUGUAACUGACACUGAGGCUCGAAAGUGUGGGGAUCAAACAGG